UCAACAAGCUGGAAUUAAUCAAGAUCAAUAGGAAGAGGAGGAAGAGGAUCAAAUCAAAAAGCUUAUGACGAGCAUCUAUUUGAAUCGAUCAUUUCCAAGAGCUAAUUCCAGUUUUUCCUUAUUCCGAGGUAACGCCUUACAAUCUUCAGUCUUACGCUUAAGGGGUAAAAUGUUCUUGUUGGAUGCAGGACUUGGGACCCCCAUCAUUUGUAUGCAAGAUGAGCUUACAGGAGUGCCAAAAAACCGAGCCACCAGGUUUGAGAAUAAAGUGGGUUUCCUGGGUAAAUCAAUGAUCAAAGAGCGAGCAGCCGCC
RNAcentral lists this unclassified non-coding RNA (313 nucleotides) under Hevea brasiliensis (rubber tree). Lineage: Eukaryota; Viridiplantae; Streptophyta; Magnoliopsida; Malpighiales; Euphorbiaceae. The record is from RNAcentral.